Mustela putorius furo (domestic ferret) is the source of this 114-nucleotide ribosomal RNA. NCBI's taxonomy places the organism in Eukaryota, Metazoa, Chordata, Mammalia, Carnivora, Mustelidae. The record is from Ensembl.
GUGUACGGUCAUACCACCCUGAACACGCCCGAGCUCGUCUGAUCUGGGAAGCUAAGCAGGGUCGAGCCUGGUUAGUACUUGGAUGGGAAACAGGUAGUCUAGGUGUUGAGCCAG